GAUGAACGCUAGCGGCAGGCCUAAUACAUGCAAGUCGAACGGUGUAGCAAUACAUAGUGGCGCACGGGUGCGUAACACGUAUGCAACCUACCUUAUACUUAGGGAUAGCCUUUGGAAACGGAGAUUAAUACCUGAUGGUAUAUUUAACUGGCAUCGGUUGAAUAUUAAAGAUUUAUUGGUAUAAGAUGGGCAUGCGUCCAAUUAGUUAGUUGGUGGGUAAUGGCUCACCAAGACGAUGAUUGGUAGGGGAACUGAGAGGUUAAUCCCCCACACUGGCACUGAGAUACGGGCCAGACUCCUACGGGAGGCAGCAGUAGGGAAUAUUGGGCAAUGGAGGCAACUCUGACCCAGCCAUGCCGCGUGCAGGAUGAAGGCGUUAUGCGUU
Molecule: ribosomal RNA, 385 nt
Filed under: uncultured bacterium
Lineage: Bacteria
Description: bacterial SSU rRNA
Rfam family: Bacterial small subunit ribosomal RNA
Source: RNAcentral